GCUGGGUAUGGUGGCGCACACCGGUAAUCCCAAUGACUGGGAGGCUGAGGCAGGAGGCUUCAAGUACAAGGCCAGCCUCAGCAACAUAGCAAGGCCCUGAGCAACUUUCCGAGACUCUGUCUCAA
RNAcentral lists this small RNA (125 nucleotides) under Marmota monax (woodchuck). Lineage: Eukaryota; Metazoa; Chordata; Mammalia; Rodentia; Sciuridae. The record is from RNAcentral.